UCCCUGGUGGUCCAGUGGUUAAGAUUCUGUGCUGCUGAUGCAGGGGCUGUAGGUUCAAUCCCUGGUCAGUGAA
Molecule: transfer RNA, 73 nt
Filed under: Capra hircus (goat)
Lineage: Eukaryota; Metazoa; Chordata; Mammalia; Artiodactyla; Bovidae
Also listed under: 1 other name
Rfam family: tRNA
About the family: Transfer RNA (tRNA) molecules are approximately 80 nucleotides in length.
Source: Rfam by way of RNAcentral